GUGCUCACUUUGGCAGCACAUAGACUAAAAUUGGAACGAUACAGAGAAGAUUAGCAUGGCCCCUGUGCAAGGAUGACACGAAAAAUAAAUAAAUCUUUAAAAAAAAA
Canis lupus familiaris (dog) is the source of this 107-nucleotide non-coding RNA. Lineage: Eukaryota; Metazoa; Chordata; Mammalia; Carnivora; Canidae. The record is from Rfam.